RNAcentral lists this non-coding RNA (581 nucleotides) under Echinostoma caproni. Its description in RNAcentral is "Eukaryotic large subunit ribosomal RNA". It matches the Rfam family "Eukaryotic large subunit ribosomal RNA", at positions 99 to 634 of the family's 3401-position model. The record is from Rfam by way of RNAcentral. Lineage: Eukaryota; Metazoa; Platyhelminthes; Trematoda; Plagiorchiida; Echinostomatidae.
CCACAUAAGCCCAGCACUGAAGCUUGUAGUUGUUUGGCCUAUAAGGAAUAUGGCGUUUAGGUCUGUUCACGGGGAUACUGAUCUAAACUAAGUCAUUUGGUGAGUAGGGAAGAGGGUGAAAUGCCUGUGGGGUUGAGGCUCAGUUUGGUUAGUAUCAUUCUGAGCAGACCUUGGAGUGAAACUGUUGUCGAUUCUGCCCAAAUGUGGUUAAACUCCAUCGUAGUCUAAAUACUUGCACGAGUCUGAUAGCAAACAAGUUCCGUAAAGAAAAGUUGAAAGAUAAAUGAAAAAUAGGGAGAGAGUGAGAGCGACAGGAAGUAGUACGUGAAACCGUUUAGAGGUAAACGAGUGGAGUUGAACUGCAUGCUCCGAGGGUUCAGCUGGUGAGAUUGGUAUGAUCUUAUUCAUGCGGGUUGCCUUUUCAGGUUGGCUUAGCUGUAGGUCUUGAUCUUUGGUGGGUAUGCGAAUAUCACUUCUGUCACAAUUGCACUUGCCCGGAGUGUUCAAUACGACCGGCGUCGAUGCGUCGCUAGAGCGGUAGAACUAGUCUUGUAGAAUCCUCAUGACCUCACUUAGUUUGG